This 360-nucleotide unclassified non-coding RNA is filed under the name Hevea brasiliensis (rubber tree). The record is from RNAcentral. Lineage: Eukaryota; Viridiplantae; Streptophyta; Magnoliopsida; Malpighiales; Euphorbiaceae.
AAGAUGGUCGCCUCUUCCUCCAACGUGGUCGGGCUGCCGCUUUAUGAAGCGACCACGCUGCUGGGCGGGGAAGGUUUCCCGGUCCGCUUCGGCUGGCUGAAUGCCAGUUGAUGGCAAAUCCGCGCCCCGCGCGAAGCCAUGCCCGAUCUGCGGCAAGCCGCAGGUCGAGGCCUCCAAGCCGUUCUGUUCGGAACGCUGCCGCGAUGUCGACCUGAAUCGCUGGCUGUCGGGGUCCUAUGCCAUCCCGGCGCGCGAGAGCGACGAGGACGACGAUAUGGACGAGCCGAAAUAAGGUCUUUCGGGCAUUUUCCGGCCGCGCCGAAGUCCUUGAAUUCGGGAGGAUUUCGAGCCGCCGCCGGG